This 353-nucleotide unclassified non-coding RNA is filed under the name Clavispora lusitaniae. RNAcentral's name for it is "sequence contains 18S rRNA gene, ITS1, 5.8S rRNA gene, ITS2, 28S rRNA gene". The stretch from base 78 to 227 matches the Rfam family "5.8S ribosomal RNA". Lineage: Eukaryota; Fungi; Ascomycota; Pichiomycetes; Serinales; Metschnikowiaceae. The record is from RNAcentral.
GAUCAUUAAAAAAUACAUUACACAUUGUUUUUGCGAACAAAAAAAUAAAUUUUUUUAUUCGAAUUUCUUAAUAUCAAAACUUUCAACAACGGAUCUCUUGGUUCUCGCAUCGAUGAAGAACGCAGCGAAUUGCGAUACGUAGUAUGACUUGCAGACGUGAAUCAUCGAAUCUUUGAACGCACAUUGCGCCUCGAGGCAUUCCUCGAGGCAUGCCUGUUUGAGCGUCGCAUCCCCUCUAACCCCCGGUUAGGCGUUGCUCCGAAAUAUCAACCGCGCUGUCAAACACGUUUACAGCACGACAUUUCGCCCUCAAAUCAGGUAGGACUACCCGCUGAACUUAAGCAUAUCAAUAA